UAGCAAAAAAUGAAGAAAAUCAUUUACGGUUACGGCCCGUAGGAAGACAGUGAAACUCUGUCUUUGCGAA
RNAcentral lists this transfer RNA (70 nucleotides) under Nodopelta heminoda. RNAcentral describes it as "tRNA-Arg". The record is from RNAcentral. Lineage: Eukaryota; Metazoa; Mollusca; Gastropoda; Neomphalida; Peltospiridae.